RNAcentral lists this ribosomal RNA (247 nucleotides) under uncultured bacterium. RNAcentral describes it as "partial 16S ribosomal RNA". It matches the Rfam family "Bacterial small subunit ribosomal RNA", at positions 523 to 769 of the family's 1533-position model. The record is from RNAcentral.
AUACGGAGGGUGCAAGCGUUAUUCGGAUUUACUGGGCGUAAAGGGCGCGUAGGCGGCUUGAUAAGUCAGUCGUGAAAGCCCGGGGCUCAACCCCGGAAGUGCGAUUGAAACUAUCAGGCUUGAGUAUGGUAGAGGGAAGUGGAAUUCCUGGUGUAGCGGUGAAAUGCGUAGAUAUCAGGAGGAACACCGGUGGCGAAGGCGACUUCCUGGACCAAUACUGACGCUGAUGCGCGAAGGUGUGGGUAGC